AACGUACGCUGGCGGCACGCCUAACACAUGCAAGUCGAACGCAGUAGCAAUACUGAGUGGCAGACGGGUGAGUAACAUGUGGGAAUCUGCCUUGUGGUUCAGGACAACAUUGGGAAACCGAUGCUAAUACUGGAUAAGCCCUUACGGGGAAAGUUUUAAUGCCAUAAGAUGAGCCCGCAUUUGAUUAGUUAGUUGGUGAGGUAAUGGCUCAACAAGACAAUGAUCAAUAGCUGAUCUGAGAGGAUGAUCAGCCACACUGGGACUGAGACACGGCCCAGACUCCUGCGGGAGGCAGCAGUGGGGAAUCUUGCACAAUGGAGGAAACCCUGAUGCAGCGAUGCCGCGUGAGUGAAGAAGGCCUUUGGGUUGUAAAGCUCUUUUGUAGGGGAAGAUAAUGACUGUACCCUAAGAAUAAGGUCCGGCUAACUUCGUGCCAGCCGCCGCGGUAA
This 449-nucleotide ribosomal RNA is filed under the name uncultured bacterium. RNAcentral describes it as "partial 16S ribosomal RNA". It matches the Rfam family "Bacterial small subunit ribosomal RNA", at positions 29 to 523 of the family's 1533-position model. The record is from RNAcentral.